AGUAAGGAAAAAAUUAAAAAUAAAAUAAAAUAAAAAUGAAUGCAGGCAUGCCCAUGCACACAUCCCACAGCCUCUGCAUACAGUGCAGCUAUCAGCUGUUACAGGGCUCAGCCACAACUGGCUCUGCUCUUUUCUGACUCAGAGCAGCAUAAAUGACUUCCUGCACUCUACUGAAAUGAGUUCUCUCUCUGCCCACCCAGUACUCUGCAGCCUGAGAACCUACUUCCUCUAAAGAAGUUGACUCACUGCUUUCCUUUUACUAAAAGAUUUCUUGAUCCAAUUUCAGAGGAAAAGAUAACUAAGCUCUUUGGCAACUGCAGCAGUCUAUAACGUUUGGGGGUCAAUGGGAUCUCAGUGAUCAACUGAGAAAGAAGUAACACAUUGUUAGCAUUGUGCUUUUUAUUUCUUAGCCUGAGGUAUCUAGUAGGAAUAUUAUCACCCUGUUACAGGGUAGUCCAUUUAACUUUUUCAGUCUCUCUGUCUCUGUCUCUGUCUGUCUCUAUCUCUGUGUCUGUCUGUCUGUCUCUCUCUCUCUUUCUCUCUCACUCUCACUCUCUUUGUAAAAGUGUGUGUGUGUGUGUGUGUGUGUGUGUGUGUAAGAACUUCUCCAGUACUAGAUUACCCUCUAGAACUUACCAUCUUAGUAUCCUAAAAGGUGCCAGAGUUCAGACAUCCAGACAAUAAAAAAAGAGUCUCACUUGUGUCAGUUAAACCGUAUUGCUGGCGAUACCUGAGUCAGAGAGCAUGGACUAUCUGGGAUUAUGUCGGAGACUUCAUCCCUGCAGAAUAGUUUUCAUAGUGCUAGAAAGUUAAGUGCACUCUAUCAGAGGAGGAAAGGCUUCACAAAUCUUACUCAGCUGUGAAUCUUGUGAGCUACAAUAAUGACUGUCUUUGCACAUUACUUGGGUAUCAUUUGCAAUGACUUUUGUUCAAUAGUGGCAUUACUAUUAUGGGUGUAAACGACAAUUUUCUGAUUGGAUUAAGUCUGGUUCCAUAGGAUAAAAUCCAUACUUGUUACCAUUAUUGGGCUAAGAACCUGUGGAUAGUCACAUCCUAAGCCCAAGGGGGAACCUAUUACUAUAAAUAGACUCCUAGUAGCUUGUUAUUUUAAUAGAUUAAUGCAUCUUUCAUUCCUCAUCAGCAAAGCUUCUAUUUGCAUUAGAUGGUGAUUAACACAGAUACUCCACUGGCCUAGGUGCAGAGGAUAAGACACUUUGAAAAGUUCAGCCCUAAAUGGAGAAUGCACACCACACUUCCUCCUCCUAAGACUUUUGGAAGAGGGGCUGGAAAGAGUCUAGGGGUGCUGCAUGACUAUUAUGAGAAAAGAUUAACUUCUGGACACAGUAGGGAACUUGCACGUAUAAAUUCAUACUGACUGUCAUAAGAUGGAGAAGACUUUCACAAGCUCAAGCAGCCUAAUUCCCAGUAUGGUAUGGGGAGUCGGGAUGGAUUUAGGCACAUAGGAAUUUAUGGAUGUCAGAAGAGGACCUCUGAUCCUCAGUAAUUGGAGUUACAGGUGGCUAAGAACAGGCUAAGAAGCUAUUAGUGACUGAUAAGUAGAGAGGGGAACAUUCAGUGUUCCCCAAUAGUGCAGCCCCUGAUGAGUUGACCGUGCUCCAGUGGUUCAUGUCUAAGAACAGUUGAUAAGCAAAAGUUGGAAUUGAGGAAAUGAAACAAAUAAGAAUUAAAAAGGAUGUAAGCUUGGGUAGUAGGGAGUAUGAUCAAAAUACAUUGUACAAAUUUCUCAAAGAACUAAUAAUAUAUAUACUUUAAAUGUAUCUUAAAAGUUACAUGAAGUCUAUAUAUUCCAUUUGAGAAGUCCUUUGGUUUCCCCUGUCUAGGUACAAUGCCACCACAUCUUUAAAGAUGGCAUUGAAGACCUAGAAAAAUUUUUGAAAAGUCAUAAGAUCAAAGAAAAUUAAUAUAAAAGCCAAACUUUAAAAUAAAUCAAUAUUUCAACCCUUUUUACAGGUAAGUUAAGCUAUAAUUUCUGGUUUGAAGAAAGAAGUAGUAUUUCAUAUAAGUUCAUAAAACUAUUUCACAAAGCCUGGAAUUUUUUUUUACCUAAUUACAAACUCUAAGAAAGCUGAUGAAUGUCGAUUAACAAUGUGUAAAUUAGUUUUAUCUCUGGGCUCUAUCAACUACUAUACACAAUCUUUUACUAAUUUAGUGUAUUUCAUCCAUUAAAAAAUAAUUUUCUUAAUUAAAAUUAUAAAUUACUAUAUAGCUAAGCCACAGAAACACUAAUGAUAUAAUUUAACACACUUAAAAUCAAAAGUCAAUUUUGAAGGCUGAACAAAUGGAUUAGCAGCUAAGAAUGCUUACUGUUCUUGCAGAAGACAUAGAUUUGGUUUCCAGCAUCCACAUGCCCUGCUCUAACCCCAGUUGCACGGGGAUCAGAAGGCCUCUUUGUAACAUCAUAUGCUCUUGCAUGCAUGUGAUACACACACACACACACACACACACACACACACACACACACACACAAAAUCAAAUAAAUAAGAGUCUAUUUUGGAGGAUGUGUUUAACUUCAUUACACUUGUAAAACUCAAAAAAUAAAAUUGGUAUCUCGAAAAUUAAGUUGUAAUUAUAUAAAAAAGAGUAAUAAGAAAUACCCUUUGGUGAAUAUGGUCAUGUCUGAUACUUUCUGUCUAUGAAUUUAGCUCUAGUUUUAAGUAGGUUGUAUUCAUGUCUCCACAAGUAUAGCCCAACAGCCUUGCUUACAGCAUGUCUUGGGACCAUGGGAAGCCCACAGGGACCACAUUGUAUUCACAGGUGUGCAAGCUGUGACACAUUCUUGACUGAUGAAAGAUGGGCCAGUGGGAAUAUUUCCUCUUCUCAUACCUUACAUGUUGGUCAGUUCUUAUGCACAGCAUGGGUUCACCAUGCAGUCCUACUCCAAGGAGUAUCCAUUGUCCAUAGCAAUAACCAGUUAAUAGUUGUGUUGGCAUUUCUUCCUCCAUGCUGUGACUUUCUCUGUUAGUUAUCUUGGUGUGUGUGUGUGUGUGUGUGUGUGUGUGUGUGUGUGUGUGUUUGCAUGUGUUCUACUAGGAACAGACUACCUACCACAGGCUCUUCAAUUUCUAAAGAAAAUAAUUUCUUCAUUAGUUGUGAGACUAGCAAAUACAACACAAAGUUGUUACCAUCCAGCAAGAACUGCUGAUGAGUGUUAAAUAGGAGCAUUCAUUUUCCACUGCAGAAUAUAUUUAUUGCCCUAGAACAGACUUUAACACCUUACAUAGUCAAGUAUCACCUUGAACUCCUGACCCUUCAGUCUUUAUCUUGGUGUGGGGAUUAUAGGCAUGUGCUACUAAUCUUGGAUACUUUGGUCUUUUAUCACCAAGUUUUGAUGGAGUGGAAGAUGGAUAAAGCACUUUCAUAUUUGAUGUUGUGAGGGGACUUUAUAGUCUACAUUGUAGAAAGGCAUUAACUGACAUAUGUUACCACCUAGCAUAGCACAUACACAUUGCUAAUGGCUUGUUGAGUUAACUCUUUAGCAUGGAGGACUCUGGAGAAAUAUGUAAUUGAUACCAGUGGACAAUGGGCUCAGUUUCUCAAGAAGUGCUUGAGGUGAGACAUUCAGAGAACAGGGAUCAGUUCAAUAGGUAGAAAAAAUGAGAGACGCAGACAUCACACAGCUGAGAAUAUGGCUGAAUGCUUGAGAGCAGAGGGAAGAUGAAGCCUUUGUUCUCCAUCCCAAUGGAAGGGGGCUUCCCAAAGCGAGGGUUAGCCUAUCAUCUUUUCAGGCCAUUGGGUCUCAGAUUGAAGCACAAUGUAAACUUAAUUGUUGCCUUCAAUCAUUAGUAUCAAUGCUGAUCCAGCAAUUAUUACAACAGAAGAUAGCUGAGGGUUGCUAGGAGUAUGGAUGCCUUGAAUUGGGGACUGUGAGGAGCUGUCCGAGGAGCUGUCCUCACAGAGAUGUGAGGAGCUGUCCGAGGAGCUGUCCUCACAUAUGUGAGGAGCUGUCCUCACAAACUCCAUUACAAGAUGGCACCGGCAUCCGGCAGAACGCACCUAGUAAAAAGGGCAAUACGCAGGCGCCUGGUAACGUCCCUACUCAAAGGGACACGUACGUUUUGGUACGUCAUCUGGCAUAAUUGGCAGCGACCAGUCAGAGAGUGACACGUCCUAGGCGAGGAUAGUUUCCUAUAUAAGGGACGGUUAUUCCUCACUCUCCGUCUCCGCAUUGUAAGCUUAUGCUCUCCCUCUCAAGACGCAUUAAAGCUUUUCUGUAGUAGGAUCCUGUGUGUGCCGUGUCGUUCCUGCUGGCGAGACGUAGCGCGGGACAUCUGGUGCCGAAAACCCGGGAAAGACCUCACCAUCGUCAGCACCUUCGGAGAUCCCUUGGCGACAAGGAGGAUUCAGAACUGCAGGACAAUGAAAAUCCCAUAUGGAUCCCAGGACGACUUACUAGGAGCAUCACAGCAAGUGAUCAAGAAGGGACUGGGACUCCUGCACCUCCUCACUCUUCUUCCAUGGAUGCCAGCAACGGUGCAGGGCGAGCUACGAUGGGGAAUAAUGUCAACCUUUCCACUCCCGAUGCCGGUGAUGUACCACUAACAGGGAUUUAGGGUUGGCCUAUUUACCUAAGGAUCCACAGGUUGAACGACUAAAAGAAAAUAGGACUAUUCCCCUUAAGGGCAGCCUUUGUUUUGGCAUAUUCAACAAAACAUCUUUUGAUCUCCCUUGCAUUAUGUUAUAUAAUCAAUCUUCUGCUUGGUUAAGGGAGGCCACAUGGGGAACUGGUGAGGAGGACAUUGUGGCUAACGCCACAGUUCUCUAUGGUGGUGGCCUUACAUUGGGUUAAUGGUAGCUGCACUGAUCUUACGCCCAUAGCGAUGCUACUUGGAGGAAAGGGCGAAAAGGGACGGUUGUCAUUUUCCUGGACGGGGAACAUCAAACCUGCUGCCUCUGUCUGGACAGCUACUCAUAUAAAAUAUCGCAGUAGUUACCCGCAUGCCUCGCUUUAUCCCGAUCCCUGUUGAUGCCCCGGGGACCAUGACCUUAUUUAGAGGAAAAAGAGAUUUUGGUACUUCUGCAAUUAUUGCUGGCAUUAUUGCUACGACAGCAGUCGCUCCCUCGGUUACUGCCUCGGCAUUGGCCUUGUCAAAUUCAGUACAGACAACCCAAACUAUCAACGAUUUAUCGGCCACCAUCUCUGUGGCUCGGGACAGACAGGCCUCAGCCAAUACUCAGAUAUAGGGAGGCCUUAUGCUUGUCAACCAACGUAUAGAUCUGGUCCGAGAGCAAUUAGACAUUCUAUGGCAACUGGCCCAGCUUGGCUGUGAGCAAAAACUCCCAGGCCUUUGUGUCACCUCCAUAUAAUAUGACAAAUUUACCCGAGCUGCUAAUCUGUCUAAGAGUCUUUCACAGCAUCUGUUACAGAAUUGGACCUCGGAGUUUGAACAGACACUUCGGGAGCUGAGAGCGACCAUCAUUCAAAUAAAUUCUACCCGACUGGACCUGUCUUUGACGGAGGGAUUGUCGUCCUGGAUCACCUCAGCAGUCUCUUAUUUCAAGGAAUGGGUGGGAGUGGGACUUUUUGGAGUGAUCCUCUGCUGUGGAUUAGUGUUACUCCUCUGGUUGCUUUGCAAAUUGAGAUCUCAAACAAGAAAGGACAAAGUAGUGAUCGCCCAGGCGCUUGUAGCCCUUGAACAAGGAGCGUCAGCCGAUAUCUGGUUGACCAUGCUCAAGCAACAGGUCGCCGGCUGGACAGCUCUUGCACUCCUAGAACCUCGGUUCAUUGCACAGGAUUAGAGUGUCCGGCUUGAGCAGCCCAUGAGGGGUGACGAGCUUAGCAUCGCACAGGGAAGUUCUACCAAAUAUGCUCCCUGGAAGGCAUGUCAUUUUACAUGAGGGUUUCUGCCCCAGUUUUCCCUCCCUCGAAAAAUGGCAGUGCGACGGGUCGGGAGUGCCCUGGGUCCCAACAACAGCCUAAGGGUAUCUCUCUUGUACAGGUUCGCCAACUUCGUACGAGGAUAUGACCUCUGUCUUCACCCUCCUAUAUCUGGGUGUCCUGUUUGCUUUAAAAAAAAAAAAACAGAAAGGGGGGAGAUGUGAGGAGCUGUCCGAGGAGCUGUCCUCACAGAGAUGUGAGGAGCUGUCCGAGGAGCUGUCCUCACAUAUGUGAGGAGCUGUCCUCACAAACUCCAUUACAAGUUGGCACCGGCAUCCGGCAGAACGCACCUAGUAAAAAGGGCAAUACGCAGGCGCCUGGUAACGUCCCUACUCAAAGGGACACGUACGUUUUGGUACGUCAUCUGGCAUAAUUGGCAGCGACCAGUCAGAGAGUGACACGUCCUAGGCGAGGAUAGUUUCCUAUAUAAGGGACGGUUAUUCCUCACUCUCCGUCUCCGCAUUGUAAGCUUAUGCUCUCCCUCUCAAGACGCAUUAAAGCUUUUCUGUAGUAGGA
This is a non-coding RNA of Rattus norvegicus (Norway rat), 6412 nucleotides long. The record is from RefSeq and is a predicted model, not a curated record. Lineage: Eukaryota; Metazoa; Chordata; Mammalia; Rodentia; Muridae.